Bactrocera oleae (olive fruit fly) is the source of this 756-nucleotide long non-coding RNA. RefSeq lists it as uncharacterized. The record is from RefSeq and is a predicted model, not a curated record. NCBI's taxonomy places the organism in Eukaryota, Metazoa, Arthropoda, Insecta, Diptera, Tephritidae.
GCCGAGUAGCUGAUAGAAAUCAGAAAAAGUAGUUUUUUGUUUUGAUUUUCUUCUUACCUUUAUAUACGAAUACGCUGGAAUUACCGUAACCUAGAGACGAUGCUUGAAAACUUUUCGAAAAUAAAUGUCUCAUCGAAAGGCGAUAAAGAGUUAGUUAGCCGAAUACUUGAAGUCCAUAAUCGUUUUGUUACUUUUUACUUUAAAUGCAAAAACUUUAUUACUAUAUUUGUAUUGUGUAAUUUUAUAUUUAUUAAAACUUUACUGUUUUACAGUACAAUGAGCAUAUACGUCUGCACAUACUUAUACAUACUUAAUUUCAAGCCUACGUCAGAUUACUCCUCUCCUUCUCCCUUCUAAUACAUCUCCGCGAAGGUAUACUUUAAUUCAAGUUUACAUCGUCCAAUUGAGUUUUAUUAGAACUGCAAAUGUUUUUUGUUAAAAAAUAAGAGUAUGUACAUAUGUAUAUCGCCACAUAGUGCGUAAUUAAAGAAAUUUGUGAGUCUAAGAUUACUAUCAGUGCAUCCGAAAAACGUAAAAAUAUUUCGUAGGCGUACAAUACUUAGAUAAAUGUUUACAUAAUGGCUUAAAACCAUCUUUUAUCCUUUUUGUGCACUGACUUAAUAAGUAUUAGAAGGCUGAGCCUUUAACUGUUUAUUGUUUUCAUCACAAUAUUUUUAUUUUCUUUGCGCUUGUACAAAAGGCAAAUAAAGUUAUGCGAACGCGAUAAAUUGCUUUGUUGCAUGAAUAUUUCUUAAA